Molecule: ribosomal RNA, 495 nt
Filed under: uncultured bacterium
Lineage: Bacteria
Description: partial 16S ribosomal RNA
Rfam family: Bacterial small subunit ribosomal RNA
Source: RNAcentral
CGAACGCUGGCGGCGUGCCUAAUACAUGCAAGUAGAACGCUGAAGAGAGGAGCUUGCUCUUCUUGGAUGAGUUGCGAACGGGUGAGUAACGCGUAGGUAACCUGCCUUGUAGCGGGGGAUAACUAUUGGAAACGAUAGCUAAUACCGCAUAACAAUGGAUGACACAUGUCAUUUAUUUGAAAGGGGCAAUUGCUCCACUACAAGAUGGACCUGCGUUGUAUUAGCUAGUAGGUGAGGUAACGGCUCACCUAGGCGACGAUACAUAGCCGACCUGAGAGGGUGAUCGGCCACACUGGGACUGAGACGCGGCCCAGACUCCUACGGGAGGCAGCAGUAGGGAAUCUUCGGCAAUGGGGGCAACCCUGACCGAGCAACGCCGCGUGAGUGAAGAAGGUUUUCGGAUCGUAAAGCUCUGUUGUAAGUCAAGAACGAGUGUGAGAGUGGAAAGUUCACACUGUGACGGUAGCUUACCAGAAAGGGACGGCUAACUACGUG